This 1049-nucleotide ribosomal RNA is filed under the name Acinetobacter calcoaceticus. RNAcentral describes it as "bacterial SSU rRNA". It matches the Rfam family "Bacterial small subunit ribosomal RNA", at positions 413 to 1454 of the family's 1533-position model. Lineage: Bacteria; Pseudomonadati; Pseudomonadota; Gammaproteobacteria; Moraxellales; Moraxellaceae. The record is from RNAcentral.
GGCCUUUUGGUUGUAAAGCACUUUAAGCGAGGAGGAGGCUUACCUGGUUAAUACCUGGGAUAAGUGGACGUUACUCGCAGAAUAAGCACCGGCUAACUCUGUGCCAGCAGCCGCGGUAAUACAGAGGGUGCAAGCGUUAAUCGGAUUUACUGGGCGUAAAGCGCGCGUAGGUGGCUAAUUAAGUCAAAUGUGAAAUCCCCGAGCUUAACUUGGGAAUUGCAUUCGAUACUGGUUAGCUAGAGUAUGGGAGAGGAUGGUAGAAUUCCAGGUGUAGCGGUGAAAUGCGUAGAGAUCUGGAGGAAUACCGAUGGCGAAGGCAGCCAUCUGGCCUAAUACUGACACUGAGGUGCGAAAGCAUGGGGAGCAAACAGGAUUAGAUACCCUGGUAGUCCAUGCCGUAAACGAUGUCUACUAGCCGUUGGGGCCCUUGAGGCUUUAGUGGCGCAGCUAACGCGAUAAGUAGACCGCCUGGGGAGUACGGUCGCAAGACUAAAACUCAAAUGAAUUGACGGGGGCCCGCACAAGCGGUGGAGCAUGUGGUUUAAUUCGAUGCAACGCGAAGAACCUUACCUGGCCUUGACAUACAGAGAACUUUCCAGAGAUGGAUUGGUGCCUUCGGGAACUCUGAUACAGGUGCUGCAUGGCUGUCGUCAGCUCGUGUCGUGAGAUGUUGGGUUAAGUCCCGCAACGAGCGCAACCCUUUUCCUUAUUUGCCAGCACUUCGGGUGGGAACUUUAAGGAUACUGCCAGUGACAAACUGGAGGAAGGCGGGGACGACGUCAAGUCAUCAUGGCCCUUACGGCCAGGGCUACACACGUGCUACAAUGGUCGGUACAAAGGGUUGCUACUGCGCGAGCAGAUGCUAAUCUCAAAAAGCCGAUCGUAGUCCGGAUCGCAGUCUGCAACUCGACUGCGUGAAGUCGGAAUCGCUAGUAAUCGCGGAUCAGAAUGCCGCGGUGAAUACGUUCCCGGGCCUUGUACACACCGCCCGUCACACCAUGGGAGUUUGUUGCACCAGAAGUAGGUAGUCUAACCUUAGGGAGGACGCU